Molecule: ribosomal RNA, 253 nt
Filed under: uncultured bacterium
Lineage: Bacteria
Description: partial 16S ribosomal RNA
Rfam family: Bacterial small subunit ribosomal RNA
Source: RNAcentral
UACGAAGGGGGCUAGCGUUGUUCGGAAUCACUGGGCGUAAAGCGCACGUAGGCGGAUUUUUAAGUCAGGGGUGAAAUCCCGGGGCUCAACCUCGGAACUGCCUUUGAUACUGGAGAUCUUGAGUCCGGAAGAGGUAAGUGGAACUGCGAGUGUAGAGGUGAAAUUCGUAGAUAUUCGCAAGAACACCAGUGGCGAAGGCGGCUUACUGGUCCGGAACUGACGCUGAGGUGCGAAAGCGUGGGGAGCGAUCCGG